RNAcentral lists this ribosomal RNA (278 nucleotides) under uncultured prokaryote. RNAcentral describes it as "partial 16S ribosomal RNA". It matches the Rfam family "Bacterial small subunit ribosomal RNA", at positions 524 to 801 of the family's 1533-position model. The record is from RNAcentral.
UACGUAGGGUGCGAGCGUUGUCCGGAAUUACUGGGCGUAAAGGGUGCGUAGGUGGUUUCUUAAGUCAGAGGUGAAAGGCUACGGCUCAACCGUAGUAAGCUCUUGAAACUGUAAGACUUGAGUGCAGGAGAGGAGAGUGGAAUUCCUAGUGUAGCGGUGAAAUGCGUAGAUAUUAGGAGGAACACCAGUUGCGAAGGCGGCUCUCUGGACCGUAACUGACGCUGAGGCACGAAAGCGUGGGGAGCAAACAGGAUUAGGAUACCCGGGUAGUCCCUGAG